CCCCGCGUGCUAGGGGAGCCGAAGCCCAUCCCCGUCCCCUCAGUCCUGCAGGGCAGCGGCUUUUUAAGCCGUCCAGCCCACUGGAAGGAAAGGAAUUACGCCCAGAGGCAGGAAAAUGUAAAUCCACACGGAAGCGCCAGGGGGCUGGAGGCGGCGUCACCUCCGUUCCCCGCACAUCGGCCCAGCAGCGAGGCGAGAGGGAGCCGCCGGCGCCCGGCGCCGGGCCGGCACUGCUGGCUCGCGCCUCCGGGCCUCGAUUUCCCCAUCGGGGCUGAUCGCCAGCUCUGUCCCCGGGGUUAUUUAGCAAGCAGCGGAGCAGCGAGCGGGCCUCGGCGCUGCGAUGACUCUUCCCUCCCAGUGAUUGCCUGCGUGACGCAUCUCGCCCGCGAUGACGCCGCGGGAGCGGACGCCCCGAGACUUGAGGGCAAAAGCGGCAUUUCUGCCGGCGCUGCAGUGGGCUCGGUGGUGAUGCCCCCAGCCGGGACCCGGCGAGCUGGACCGGGGGGUCGGGGGCCAGGGCAUCCCCGUGCCCAGCCAUGCUGGCGGGUGGCCGGGAAAAUACGGGAAUGGAAACCUCCGGCCCCGACGGGUUCGCUUUGCAUCACUGCCUCCUCGCCCACGGCGCCUCUCCCCAUUUGCCCCGGCAGCCACUUUCGCCUGGGCUCUCAGCUGCUCCCCCGAGUCCGGGCAAAACAACCUCGCUCAGGACAAACCCGUGCACGAGCCCAGGGACGGUCUGGGCAAGGCGGCGAUUUCAGCCAUAUGAGCAAUAACCUGCCCCGGGCCCUAAAUUCCCCUUUUGCAACCCGUUCCCGGUGCCAGGGACGCCCUCCCCGGCUCGCAGAUUAACUCGAGGAACGGCGCGCCCCGUGCCAGCCGCGUUCGGCCGCCGCCGGGCCGUAUCGGGGCAGGCUUUUGUGUGCCGGCUGCCCGGCCCCAAUAAAUGGUUCACUGGAGUGAUAAAA
Rhea pennata is the source of this 965-nucleotide long non-coding RNA. RefSeq lists it as uncharacterized. The record is from RefSeq and is a predicted model, not a curated record. NCBI's taxonomy places the organism in Eukaryota, Metazoa, Chordata, Aves, Rheiformes, Rheidae. The transcript has 2 exons.